UGACGCGCAGCGGGAGAACCUCCGUUUCGGAGGCGCCGUAGGAGCAACUUCCUCCCCGGGAAUCUCUCAGGCCCCAGUACCGCAGCGCAGAG
This 92-nucleotide non-coding RNA is filed under the name Rhodococcus jostii RHA1. Its description in RNAcentral is "Glycine riboswitch aptamer". It matches the Rfam family "Glycine riboswitch aptamer". Rfam says of the family: This family represents the bacterial glycine riboswitch. Glycine riboswitches usually consist of two metabolite-binding aptamers domains with similar structures in tandem. The aptamers cooperatively bind glycine to regulate the expression of downstream genes. The record is from Rfam by way of RNAcentral. RNAcentral also lists the same sequence under 1 other name. Lineage: Bacteria; Bacillati; Actinomycetota; Actinomycetes; Mycobacteriales; Nocardiaceae.